UGCGGGGCGGCGCUUUCCAUGCAGUCGAACGGUAACAGGGAGCUUGCUCCGCUGACGAGUGGCGAACGGGUGAGUAAUAUAUCGGAACGUACCCAAGAGUGGGGGAUAACGUAGCGAAAGUUACGCUAAUACCGCAUACGAUCUAUGGAUGAAAGCAGGGGACCUUCGGGCCUUGUGCUCCUGGAGCGGCCGAUAUCUGAUUAGCUAGUUGGUGAGGUAAAGGCUCACCAAGGCGACGAUCAGUAGCUGGUCUGAGAGGACGACCAGCCACACUGGAACUGAGACACGGUCCAGACUCCUACGGGAGGCAGCAGUGGGGAAUUUUGGACAAUGGGCGCAAGCCUGAUCCAGCAAUGCCGCGUGAGUGAAGAAGGCCUUCGGGUUGUAAAGCUCUUUUGUCAGGGAAGAAACGGCUGUGGCUAAUAUCCACGGCUAAUGACGGUACCUGAAGAAUAAGCACCGGCUAACUACGUGCCAGCAGCCGCGGUAAUACGUAGGGUGCAAGCGUUAAUCGGAAUUACUGGGCGUAAAGCGUGCGCAGGCGGUUUUGUAAGUCUGUCGUGAAAUCCCCGGGCUCAACCUGGGAAUUGCGAUGGAGACUGCAAGGCUAGAAUCUGGCAGAGGGGGGUAGAAUUCCACGUGUAGCAGUGAAAUGCGUAGAGAUGUGGAGGAACACCGAUGGCGAAGGCAGCCCCCUGGGUCAAGAUUGACGCUCAUGCACGAAAGCGUGGGGAGCAAACAGGAUUAGAUACCCUGGUAGUCCACGCCCUAAACGAUGUCUACUAGUUGUCGGGUUUUAAUUAACUUGGUAACGCAGCUAACGCGUGAAGUAGACCGCCUGGGGAGUACGGUCGCAAGAUUAAAACUCAAAGGAUUUGACGGGGACCCGCACAAGCGGUGGAUGAUGUGGAUUAAUUCGAUGCAACGCGAAAACCUUACCUACCCUUGACAUGUCAGAAGACCGAGAG
RNAcentral lists this ribosomal RNA (968 nucleotides) under Massilia timonae. Its description in RNAcentral is "bacterial SSU rRNA". It matches the Rfam family "Bacterial small subunit ribosomal RNA", at positions 38 to 1003 of the family's 1533-position model. The record is from RNAcentral. Lineage: Bacteria; Pseudomonadati; Pseudomonadota; Betaproteobacteria; Burkholderiales; Oxalobacteraceae.